Cinara cedri is the source of this 623-nucleotide non-coding RNA. NCBI's taxonomy places the organism in Eukaryota, Metazoa, Arthropoda, Insecta, Hemiptera, Aphididae. The record is from the annotation of a GenBank genome assembly.
AUAACAAUUCCGUAUAUGAUAUCCUAAAAAUUAUAAAAUACAGUUAAAGUUGCUUAGAACUCACGAAUUGACCAUCAAAAGUAUCCAUUAUAUACAGGUGUCCAUUGUAGUAUGGUUUUAGUGGUUUUAUAGUUAAAUCCAGUCGGUUACAUGCGUAUUCCUGAUAUCAAAUAGUUUACGAAUAGACAAUUUACUAGUAUCGUUUGCACCAAAUAGGUAAUUUUAACUUUUUAAUUUAAAUCAUUUCUACGGUACAAGAUGUAUCAUUGCAAAGAUAAAACAACCAACUCUGAAUAAUAGCAGAGCAGAAUGACCAUUUCUGGUCAAAAUAAGAUAAUGGGACAUAAUAUUUUUUUUGGCCAUGCAAUAAACGUUAUCGUUUUCAGCGAUAAAAAUGUAAUCAAAUAUAUAAUUCGUUAAACAUUUUGGAUUUUACUGUAAACUUGCCGUCUGUUAUCAUACCAACUUAGAGAAAUAUAACAGUUUGAGUCCGUUAGACUAGUUAAACUACAUUGAAACGCCUAUCUUUUUCCCAAGACCUUAUUAUUUUCUUCGUUAAGAGAGAUACCCGUUAUAUAAGUAUAAGUCUCCGUUAAUACAGGUUUUAUGUUUUUUUCUACUUU